UGGCGGGAGGGCGACUCUCUGGUCUGUAACUGACGCUGAGGAGCGAAAGCGUGGGGAGCGAACAGGAUUAGAUACCCUGGUAGUCCACGCCGUAAACGAUGAGUGCUAAGUGUUAGGGGGUUUCCGCCCCUUAGUGCUGCAGCUAACGCAUUAAGCACUCCGCCUGGGGAGUACGGUCGCAAGACUGAAACUCAAAGGAAUUGACGGGGGCCCGCACAAGCGGUGGAGCAUGUGGUUUAAUUCGAAGCAACGCGAAGAACCUUACCAGGUCUUGACAUCCUCUGACAAUCCUAGAGAUAGGACGUCCCCUUCGGGGGCAGAGUGACAGGUGGUGCAUGGUUGUCGUCAGCUCGUGUCGUGAGAUGUUGGGUUAAGUCCCGCAACGAGCGCAACCCUUGAUCUUAGUUGCCAGCAUUCAGUUGGGCACUCUAAGGUGACUGCCGGUGACAAACCGGAGGAAGGUGGGGAUGACGUCAAAUCAUCAUGCCCCUUAUGACCUGGGCUACACACGUGCUACAAUGGACAGAACAAAGGGCAGCGAAACCGCGAGGUUAAACCAAUCCCACAAAUCUGUUCUCAGUUCGGAUCGCAGUCUGCAACUCGACUGCGUGAAGCUGGAAUCGCUAGUAAUCGCCGGAUCAGCAUGCCGCGGUGAAUACGUUCCCCGGGCCUUGUACACACCGCCCGUCACACCACCAAAAGUUGU
Molecule: ribosomal RNA, 706 nt
Filed under: Bacillus subtilis
Lineage: Bacteria; Bacillati; Bacillota; Bacilli; Caryophanales; Bacillaceae
Description: bacterial SSU rRNA
Rfam family: Bacterial small subunit ribosomal RNA
Source: RNAcentral